Lepisosteus oculatus (spotted gar) is the source of this 119-nucleotide ribosomal RNA. Lineage: Eukaryota; Metazoa; Chordata; Actinopteri; Semionotiformes; Lepisosteidae. The record is from Ensembl.
GCCAGCAGCCAUAUCACUCUGCAACUCACAACUGGCAACCCACUGAAGCUAAGCAGGUGUGAGCCUGGUCAGUACCUGGAUGUGAGACCUCCUGGGAAAAACUAAGGUUGCUGCUGGAA